This is a non-coding RNA of Cinara cedri, 202 nucleotides long. The record is from the annotation of a GenBank genome assembly. Lineage: Eukaryota; Metazoa; Arthropoda; Insecta; Hemiptera; Aphididae.
CUUUGUGAUUACCUAACGCAGAAAUACGAUGAUAGUAAUUACUGCCAUCAGUAUCAGCUGAGUUUUCUUUCCAUGAGACAUUACAAUAUUUCUAAUGUUAAAAUACCUAUAUAUGCGCAUUACGAAAUUCACAUGCCAUCAUACCUAGUCAUUGAACAACUAUUUUUGGUUCUUUGUAUAAUGAAAAGAUUUUAUUACUACG